Molecule: ribosomal RNA, 710 nt
Filed under: uncultured bacterium
Lineage: Bacteria
Description: bacterial SSU rRNA
Rfam family: Bacterial small subunit ribosomal RNA
Source: RNAcentral
UUUGAUUGAAGUUUUCGGAUAAUUUCAAGAUACCGAGUGGCGGACGGGUGAGUAACGCGUGGGUAACCUGCCUCAUACAGGGGGAUAACGGUUAGAAAUGACUGCUAAUACCGCAUAAGCGCACAGUACCGCAUGGUACGGUGUGAAAAACUCCGGUGGUAUGAGAUGGACCCGCGUCUGGUUAGCUGGUUGGUGGGGUAACGGCCCACCAAGGCGACGAUCAGUAGCCGACCUGAGAGGGUGACCGGCCACAUUGGGACUGAGACACGGCCCAGACUCCUACGGGAGGCAGCAGUGGGGGAUAUUGCACAAUGGAGGAAACUCUGAUGCAGCGACGCCGCGUGAGUGAAGAAGUAUUUCGGUAUGUAAAGCUCUAUCAGCAGGGAAGAAAAUGACGGUACCUGACUAAGAAGCCCCGGCUAACUACGUGCCAGCAGCCGCGGUAAUACGUAGGGGGCAAGCGUUAUCCGGAUUUACUGGGUGUAAAGGGAGCGUAGACGGCGACGCAAGUCUGAAGUGAAAUACCCGGGCUCAACCUGGGAACUGCUUUGGAAACUGUGUUGCUGGAGUGCUGGAGAGGUAAGCGGAAUUCCUAGUGUAGCGGUGAAAUGCGUAGAUAUUAGGAAGAACACCAGUGGCGAAGGCGGCUUACUGGACAGUAACUGACGUUGAGGCUCGAAAGCGUGGGGAGCAAACAGGAUUAGAUACCC